GGUUAGCUACAUUAUAAAUACUUUAAAACAUUGUGGACGGUUGAUUUGUUUAGGAUAGCUACAUUAAAGAUACGGGGGAAAAAAAAGCGAGCAUGAACUUCGGGGAACUUCGAGUGUGACUCUCUCGUCUGUGAAAUGAAGGCUUCCCGUCACGUGGAUGUCAUCUUCACAGUAUACGGUUUUACAACAUAACAAAAUUGUGAUAUUCGUGAAUAUGACAUAACAACCUGGCUGUCAUUAAGAAAAAAAGGCUAAGAUUUUCACUCGAGGAAACUUUCUAAAGCUUUAUUGAAUACAUAUAUAUUUUUUAAAAUCCAGUAAAGUGAGUGUUUUUUCUCAACUGGUAAUUGCUCAAAUAUUAAAUAACGAAGAAAAUUGUCCAGGACUGAGCGCUGUGGAAAGGCAAUUGUGGAAUAUCAUGGAAUCACCCCACCAUGGAAACCCCAGGGACGAAGCACUGGGCCGAGACUCUUUGGCAGUGCGACCAGCAUUGGGACGUACCAGGUGGCGUUGACACUCCACCGACCGACAACAGCUGCUUGCUGGAGAAAUGUCGAGGGCCGGGCUUGCAGUCAGCACUGGACAGUAGCAAGUCAGCUGCACUCGCGUGUCGGCAAGUACAGUAGAGUCUCACUAAUCCGGACUUGUCCGGACCGGACCCUGUCCGGAUCACCGAAAGUCCGGAUCAUCCGUAAACAACUUUAAAAUGUAUCAAAAACAAGUUUU
Long non-coding RNA from Bacillus rossius redtenbacheri, 726 nucleotides. RefSeq lists it as uncharacterized. The record is from RefSeq and is a predicted model, not a curated record. The transcript has 4 exons. Lineage: Eukaryota; Metazoa; Arthropoda; Insecta; Phasmatodea; Bacillidae.